CCUACGGGGGGCUGCAGUGGGGAAUAUUGGGCAAUGGGCGCAAGCCUGACCCAGCAACGCCGCGUGAAGGAAGAAGGCUUUCGGGUUGUAAACUUCUUUUGUCAGGGAAGAGUAGAAGACGGUACCUGACGAAUAAGCCACGGCUAACUACGUGCCAGCAGCCGCGGUAAUACGUAGGUGGCCAGCGUUGUCCGGAUUUACUGGGUGUAAAGGGCGUGUAGCCGGGUUGACAAGUCAGAUGUGAAAUCCUGCGGCUUAACCGCAGAACUGCAUUUGAAACUGUUGAUCUUGAGUCCUGGAGAGGCAGACGGAAUUACUAGUGUAGCGGUGAAUUGCGUAGAUAUUAGGAGGAACACAAGGGGCGAAGGCGGUCUGCUGGACAGCAACUGACGGUGAGGCGCGAAAGCGUGGGGAGCAAACAGGAUUAGAGACCCGAGUAGUC
Molecule: ribosomal RNA, 442 nt
Filed under: uncultured bacterium
Lineage: Bacteria
Description: partial 16S ribosomal RNA
Rfam family: Bacterial small subunit ribosomal RNA
Source: RNAcentral